RNAcentral lists this ribosomal RNA (403 nucleotides) under uncultured bacterium. Its description in RNAcentral is "partial 16S ribosomal RNA". It matches the Rfam family "Bacterial small subunit ribosomal RNA", at positions 30 to 526 of the family's 1533-position model. The record is from RNAcentral.
AUUGAACGCUGGCGGCAGGCCUAACACAUGCAAGUCGAGCGAGCGGCGGACGGGUGAGUAAUGUAUGGGGACUGCCCGAUAGAGGGGGAUAACUACUCGAAACGGUGGCUAAUACCGCAUAAUUUCGAAUCACCUCUAUCGGAGUUGCUAGUCGGUAAGGUAAUGGCUUCCCAAGGCGACGAUCCCGAGCUGGUGUGAGAGGAGGACCAGCCACACUGGUACUGAGACACGGCCCAGACUCCUACGGAGGCAGCAGUGGGGAAUAUUGGACAAUGGGCGAAAGCCUGAUGCAGCCAUGCCGCGUGUAUGAUGAAGGCCUUAGGGUUGUAAAGUACUUUCAGUCGGGAAGCGUUACCGACAGAAGAAGCACCGGCUAACUCCGUGCCAGCAGCCGCGGUAAUAC